Molecule: ribosomal RNA, 205 nt
Filed under: Miota sp. D1950
Lineage: Eukaryota; Metazoa; Arthropoda; Insecta; Hymenoptera; Diapriidae
Description: partial 28S ribosomal RNA
Rfam family: Eukaryotic large subunit ribosomal RNA
Source: RNAcentral
UUUCCCUCAGGAUAGCUGGCACUCGUGCAAUCGAGUCUCAUCUGGUAAAGCGAAUGAUUAGAGGCCUUGGGGCCGAAACGACCUCAACCUAUUCUCAAACUUUAAAUGGGUGAGAUCUCUGGCUUGCUUGAAUAGUGAAGCCACGAGAUAUCGGAUCAGAGUGCCAAGUGGGCCAAUUUUGGUAAGCAGAACUGGCGCUGUGGGA